AUUGACCCCUGCUGGGCUGGACUUGAGGUUCACGGCCACAUGGUUCCCUGUGCAGCGCCCCGUGGGUCCCAGCAGACACAGCACCAUAAUGGGAGACUUCUAGGCCGAGAGGGCAAAAGCUUCAAACAGCAGGCGGCAGCACCAGCUGUGUGGUGGCUGGGAGCUGGUCUAGCCUCCGCCUUCCUUCCAGAAGUCUCCCCAGCAUCCUCAACCAGGGCAGGAGCUGUGUUGCAGCGGUGCCUGUUGCAUGUGGAAGUCUCCCUUCAAGGUUUGCAUCAUGGAACUCACCUGGCCCAACCUCUCAGGGAGGAAAAUUCCAACCAGAGAGGGAAAUUUCCCAGUGGCUCCAGCCUCGGGAUCCUGCAACCUGAACACCUACUGGCUUCUUGGGGUCAUCCACCUUCUGCACCGAGAGGUUCUCAAGAGGCCGCUCCUGUACUCUGGGAUGCCUUCUCCUGUCUGCCUGCCCAAAUCCUCGCUGACCUUCAAGUUCCAGCGUCGGGAAGUGCCUGGCCGCAUUUCUUAAAGGUUUUACAAGGAUAGACAUCAUUUCCUCCAAAAGAACACAGAGGGAAUGUUGAGCGCUCCCUUUCCCUACUUCUCCUUCUCAUGAUUAAGCAGGCAUUGUGGCUGUUGAGAUUAAAGCCCCAUGCGGAGAUGCAGGGCACCAGGCUAGAUGGAGCCCAGGUCCCCAGGCAGCGGUGUGGAGAAGACUCAUCAUGUUCACCUGGCCCACCUAUCCAUUUGGACUUUUCAAUAAGAAAUAAAUCAGUUUUGA
Molecule: long non-coding RNA, 778 nt
Filed under: Homo sapiens (human)
Lineage: Eukaryota; Metazoa; Chordata; Mammalia; Primates; Hominidae
Description: non-protein coding lnc-ELFN2-3:3
Source: RNAcentral